RNAcentral lists this ribosomal RNA (422 nucleotides) under uncultured bacterium. RNAcentral describes it as "bacterial SSU rRNA". It matches the Rfam family "Bacterial small subunit ribosomal RNA", at positions 360 to 773 of the family's 1533-position model. The record is from RNAcentral.
AAUUGUUCGCAAUGGGCGCAAGCCUGACGACGCAACGCCGCGUGGAGGAUGAAGAUCUUCGGGUCGUAAACUCCUUUCGAUUGAGACGAAUUCCUUCGGGGUGAAUAAUCCUGGAGGUUGACGGUACCGAGAGAAGAAGCCCCGGCUAACUCCGUGCCAGCAGCCGCGGUAAUACGUAGGGGGCAAGCGUUGUCCGGAUUUAUUGGGCGUAAAGAGCGUGUAGGCGGCUUGGCAAGUCCGUUGUGAAAACUGGAGGCUCAACCUUCAGACGUCGAUGGAAACUGCCUGGCUAGAGUCCGGAAGAGGAGAGUGGAAUUCCUGGUGUAGCGGUGAAAUGCGCAGAUAUCAGGAAGAACACCCGUGGCGAAGGCGGCUCUCUGGGACGGUACUGACGCUGAGACGCGAAAGCAUGGGGAGCGAAC